GUAACUGACCUCGAAAUAUGGUAUAAAAGCCACUCUAUACUUCAAUUUCUCCAGAUCUGCUUGCUCCAGACAGAACCUUCUCAAAAAUGAAAUCUGUAAUUGCCAUUUUCCUUUUGGCUUUGGUAGCCACUGCUUUGGCAGGAUAUCUCGGCUACGGCGGUCCAUUUGGCUAUGGCUACGGUUACGCAUACCCAACCAGCACUGUUGUUUACAGUUCAAGCGCAUAUGGAUUCAGACCUUAUGGAUUCGGAUAUGGAUAUGGUCCAUAUGGUUAUGGAUAUGGAUUAGGAUACGGAGGUUACGGAUACGGUUUGGGCUACGGAAGAUUCGGCUACGGUUAUGGUUUGGGAAAAUAUUGGUAAAAAAAAAAAUAUCGAUGUCUGAAACCUUCAAUCUGUAAAAUAUUUUCGGACAAACUUUGUACAUUAACUAUCAUUUUCUUGUAAUUAUAAAAAAAAACCUAAUGUAAAAAAAUAAAAUUUACAUUUCCUUCCUCUAAAAUUUGUAUUCUUUGAGAACUUUUCGAUAUUUUUAUAACUAUAAUAUGAUAAUUUAUAUACACAUAUAUAAAAUCGGUUUUAGAUAAACUUAUCGAAACCUUUUCUCUCUAGAACAAACUUCGUUUAACAAUAAUUGUCUGAAGAAGAAAUUGCUAUUAUCAUGGAAUAAUGUAAUUAUAUACAAGAUCAAAAAGCGAAGAAAAUUUUUCACCUAAAACAUGAGAGAGAGAGAGAGAUAUUUAAAGUAAAUGAGUACGUUAUUUAUGUGUUAAAAGGUUAUAAUAAAAACUAUGAUAUAAACAUCGUAAUACAUAUUAGUCUAUGCGCUCUCCAAACACAAAUAAAAAGGAUGCC
Molecule: long non-coding RNA, 854 nt
Filed under: Androctonus crassicauda
Lineage: Eukaryota; Metazoa; Arthropoda; Arachnida; Scorpiones; Buthidae
Source: RNAcentral